This 466-nucleotide ribosomal RNA is filed under the name uncultured bacterium. Its description in RNAcentral is "partial 16S ribosomal RNA". It matches the Rfam family "Bacterial small subunit ribosomal RNA", at positions 339 to 795 of the family's 1533-position model. The record is from RNAcentral.
CUACGGGAGGCUGCAGUAGGGAAUAUUGCGCAAUGGGGGAAACCCUGACGCAGCAACGCCGCGUGGGUGAAGAAGGCUUUCGGGUUGUAAAGCCCUGUCAGGAGGGAAGAAAUGCAAGUGAGAGUAAUACCUCACUUGUUUGACGGUACCUCCAAAGGAAGCACCGGCCAACUCCGUGCCAGCAGCCGCGGUAAUACGGAGGGUGCAAGCGUUGUUCGGAUUUACUGGGCGUAAAGCGCGUGUAGGCGGCUUGUUAGGUCAGAUGUGAAAGCCCCCGGCUUAACCGGGGAAGUGCAUUUGAAACCAAUAGGCUUGAGUACGGGAGAGGGAAGCGGAAUUCCUAGUGUAGAGGUGAAAUUCGUAGAUAUUAGGAGGAACACCCGUGGCGAAGGCGGCUUCCUGGACCGAUACUGACGCUGAGACGCGAAAGCGUGGGGAGCAAACAGGAUUAGAUACCCGUGUAGUC